Sapajus apella (tufted capuchin) is the source of this 2944-nucleotide long non-coding RNA. RefSeq lists it as uncharacterized. NCBI's taxonomy places the organism in Eukaryota, Metazoa, Chordata, Mammalia, Primates, Cebidae. The transcript is spliced from 3 exons. The record is from RefSeq and is a predicted model, not a curated record.
UUCUCAUUUUUCUUUUAUAAUUCUGAUGAAGGCUGAUGACUUCUAUUUAGGAAACUUAUAUUAGUCCUUUUACAAAAUUAAACUCUAGUGUGACAAGGGUGUAUCAGUCUGCUUGGGCUGCCAUAACAAAAUAUCACAGACCAGGAGGCUAGAAGUUCAAGAUCAAGGUUGGUUUUUCAUGAGGCGUCUCUUUCUAGCUUGUAGAAAAUUGUCUUCUCCCUUUGCCCUUGUGUGGCUUCUCUUCUCUGGGUAUACUCAGGGGGACAGAGAGAGAGAGGGAGAGAGGUUGAUCUAUCUGACAUCUCUUUCUCUUCUUACAAGGACACUAAUCUUAUUGGAUUGGGCCCACCUUCCCUAUGACCUUAUUUAACCUCAAUUACCUCCUAAAGGCCCUGUCUCCAAACAAAAUCACACUGGGGGUUAGGACUUCAAAAUACAAAUUGGGAGGUGAGGACACAAGUAAGUGCAUAACAAAGGGUGAGGAGAAAAAAUCAUUUUCUUUUGGUUGUCUAAACUAUAAUGAAUUUGUGCAGUUCUACCCAGGAACAAUCUGAAAAUUUGGCAUAUAUAUUUUGGUCAAGGUAUUGCUUGACUUGUAGUUAGUAUUUCUCAGUGCGUGUUAUGGCACAAAUUGCAUAUUUUAAUGGGAUAUUUUAGUGAGCUUCUCCUUGAUAUGCAUAGUGGGGCAUUAACAUGCUGAUAAUUUAAACUGUGAUUUAUUUAUUUAUUUAUAUAUUUAUUUAUUUUUUGCAGAAGGGUUUGGCUAGGUAGCAUGCAGUGUUAAUUGUAUGGAGCUCUUCUUCUCAGAAGUUUGCCUUCCAAAACUCCUUGAAGCUUUGUGCUUUCAAUGACCAUUAAUAUUAUAAUGUGCAAAAUUUUACCAUGGGUCAAGCUUAGUUCCAUAAAGGCCAGAAAGAAGGCUUUAAAAAAAGAUAACAAACAAAUUAGGAAAAAACUCUUUUUCUUUUCUUCUCUCUUCUCACCAUAUAUUCUCUUUCUCCUCAUGUUUUCUUCUUUGAAAGGAAAUCUUUGGUGAGAGAUGAUUUCCUUAAUUUAUCUUAUUGCCUAUUUCCCUAGGCAUGAAUAUUUAGGAGGUAUCUAAGAAUGGUUUCUAGGCAGUGACAGAAAUGGAAAUUAUUUACCCCAGGAACUCUGCAUGUAUUCUUGUUAACUCAUUUGCAUACUGUUAACUGAAUAAUAUAUUGGUGGGAACAGAAGCCUUGGAAGCCCUCCAUCAUCCACAUUCCAUUUGCAUCGUCUGUUUUUAGGGUGACGAUCUUGUUUACCUAAGUUGCAAGACACCCCAUAUCUUAUACAAAUGGAGAAAUUAAUUGGCAGAUUCAUGCAUGAAUUAAGUUGUUGUCUUGCUUUGUAUUCUUUCAGGAAUCUCGGGUGAAAUGAAUGGGCCUGCAUGGAUAACGAGGAGUUUUCAGAAAUUUAAAUUUCUUAUUGAGUAAUUCAGUUUUCAGUGGCUAUAUCAUUCAAUAAUAAAUUUAAAACAUUACAUAAAUAUGGUGUGAUGAUUAUGUGCACAGCAUAAAACCCACUGCAUUUUUAGAAUAAGUCAAAUUCAGAUAAAAUUGGAGGGGAUUGCUUAACCACUGAGUAUCUGCCAGAGCAUUUGAUUGUAGAUCAGAAAUUUUGAAAACCUUCACGUAGACUGUAAUAAACUGGCUGCUCUACUGUAAAUGAGAUAAUGCGGGACAAACACCUGAUGUUAUUUUCAAAUCUAACCUAAGAAGUUAUACAAAUAUUGAGGUGUAUAGAGAAAUUAUCAUAUGCAUAUUUGGAGGCAUAUGACUAAAUUUGGUACUGAAAGUGAUUUGGCUGGGAUGUGGUGAAAAUGUUUACAAGGUUUGAAUCUUUUUAGGAAUUUGAAGAAAGAGAAACCGCAUAUUUUCUGAGAUCUAAUCCAUUUAUUUGGGAUCCAUCUGAAUGAGCAUCUUAUUUCACUGGGCAAUCCUGUAUUCCAGCUGCAGAUGAAGAGAGUGCUUCACUUCAAACCUCCUGACUGCCAUGGAACCAUCUGGCACGUGCACAUGUGUGGAUGGUGUCAGAAGUGGGAUCUGAAGUAGACCUUCUAAUGACCUUUAGGAGUGCUGAGUGACCAAGUGAGAUACUUGCAGGAACCUUUUGUGUCCAGUGAUCUCUUGGAGCAGCUGGGGAUCAUGCUUGGCCUCCAGGGGCAUAGUGUUGUGAACAGGGUCACUAGGGCUGCUCAGUGAAAGGGAAUUCAGAAACCUGGCGUGCUGGCAAAAGGGUAAGAAUUUCCUACCAAUCAGACUUCUCACCUCUCUCUCUUUUUGCAAACUGGUUGGAUGAAUGAUAAAAAUCACUGUUUAUCUCCUCUGUAAAGGUGUAAUUAAUGCAAAAAAGGCUUCUGAGGGUAGAUCUAAGUUGCAGCAAAUUUGGUGUGCGUUGUGUGUCUUCUGUAUGGUUUUGUUAUAAAGAAGAGUAUGUUAGGAUAGAGCAUUGGUUUAGGACCCUGUAAGCUCACUAUUCAAGAUGGCCCAGCAAGCUGGUCAAUAACACACUUUGCUGCAGGUACCUGAAACAACAAAAAAAACUGGAUGAGACCUUGUUUUAUGUCCUUGGGAAUUUGACCUUGUCACCACAUGGCUGUACUUUCUCUUGGUCUCAAAUAAAAAUAUACUCUAUUGGUGCAUACAACAGACCCCGUUUUCACUUCUGUUGUUCAUAAAGGAAUAAGCAAGGGAAAAAUAUUCAAAGGUAAGUGUCUCAUGAUAGUAGAGAAGUCUUGAUCCAUGACCUUGGGAAAAGCUAUUCACAUUAAGGAUGCCAUCUUUUCUGGGGAGAAAUUUCUCUGCUUGAUUUUACCUUAAGGGUUCCAAUGGGUAUACAGUUCCAAGAGUGUGGAGGGACCCUUUUCAGUUGCGAAAUUAUGAACUUGAAAUCAUACCUGCCAUAAUAUUGGACCACAAAG